Molecule: long non-coding RNA, 1463 nt
Filed under: Populus trichocarpa (black cottonwood)
Lineage: Eukaryota; Viridiplantae; Streptophyta; Magnoliopsida; Malpighiales; Salicaceae
Description: long non-coding RNA (PTRI_LNC004487)
Source: RNAcentral
CAUCAUCAAAAUACAAUCCAUACAAUCAACAGUUCAUUCAAAAGCGAAUCUUACACAAACACAUAAUAUUAAGGUUGCAUGAUUUGAAGUUCAUAUUAAAAAUAUAUAUACAUGGACAUGAGUUUGCAUUCUUAUACUACUAAUAGCCAUCACAAAUUUUAAACAAAAAGGAUCUAAUAAAAGUUAUACAUUCAGUACAUUGAUCCCUACAAAAUACAUUGUGAGUUAGAAUGCAUCUACUUAAUUCCUUGCAAAAGUAGGUUCCCGUGUAUCGGGUAUCCUAGACAUCUCGUUGGUGUGACGUCCCUGCAGCAGUACAAAACAUUUAAGAGAAAACAAAUACUUAAUAAUAAUAAUGGUAACUAACGGCCUAGCAAUUAAAUAAGCAUUAACAUUUAUAAUUUCUUCAUGUAUUUGAUGUAACAAUUAGUAGUACAUAUAGAUACACAAGUUUUCAAAUGCCAUUCGCCGAAACUAGUCGUUUAUUUGUCCCGGCUAUCCAUCCGGAUUCCAUAGCGAUAGCUGCGUCGCUGCCAAUCCUAAAAUCGACAGCCGAAACUACAUCGCUGCCGAUCAAGGAAUUGGCAGCGAAACUGGGUCGCUGCCGAUUUCUGUAUCGGCAGCGAAGACUGCAUCGCUGCCGAUCCAAAAUCGGCAGCGGAAACUGCGUCGCUGCCGAUUUCUGUAUCGGCAGCGGAAACUGCGUCGCUGCCGAUUUCUGUAUCGGCAGCGGAAACUAGGUCGCUGCCGAUUUCUGUAUCGGCAGCGAAUACUGUGUCGCUGCCGAUCCAGAAUCGGCAGCGGAACCAUCCCUUUUUAACCCGGCCAUCCAUUCGGACGCCAUUAGCCAAAGCUAAUCAUUCUUUGUCCCGACCAUCCGUUUGGAUGCCAUUAGCCGAAGCUAAUCACUCUUUUGUCCCGGCCAUCCAUUUGGAUGCCAUUAGCCGAAGCUAAUCACUCUUUUGUCCCGGCCAUCCAUUUGGAUGCCAUUAGCCGAAGCUAAUCACUCUUUGUCCCGACCAUCCGUUUGGAUGCCAUUAGCCGAAGCUAAUCAGUCCUUCAUCCCGGCCAUCCAUUCGGACGCCAUUAGCCAAAGCUAAUCAUUCUUUGUCCCGGCCAUCCGUUUGGAUGCCAUUAGCCGAAGCUAAUCACUCUUUUAUCAACAAUUAAGCGUUCGACAAUUUAAUAUCGGUUCUAACAAUAUGGUAGUACUCAAGUUAAAAUAUUCCAAGAUUCAACGUAUGAAAAAGAAAGGUGCAAGUCACCUACCUGCUCCACCUGUGGGUCGUUCCUGUCUUGAUGAUGGUCCAAUCCCGACCGCACCACCUAAGACAUCAAUGGUCACAAAUCAGCACAGUUGUAUUUAUUUUAUUUUUGAAUCACAUUCAUCAUCACACUUAUUUCAAUAGUUCAUAUGUUCACAUUCAAGUGUUCCCUAUUUUACACCAUCAUAUCAUGAAAUU